This 1196-nucleotide ribosomal RNA is filed under the name Escherichia coli. RNAcentral's name for it is "partial 23S ribosomal RNA". It matches the Rfam family "Bacterial large subunit ribosomal RNA", at positions 1 to 1238 of the family's 2925-position model. The record is from RNAcentral. Lineage: Bacteria; Pseudomonadati; Pseudomonadota; Gammaproteobacteria; Enterobacterales; Enterobacteriaceae.
GGUUAAGCGACUAAGCGUACACGGUGGAUGCCCUGGCAGUCAGAGGCGAUGAAGGACGUGCUAAUCUGCGAUAAGCGUCGGUAAGGUGAUAUGAACCGUUAUAACCGGCGAUUUCCGAAUGGGGAAACCCAGUGUGUUUCGACACACUAUCAUUAACUGAAUCCAUAGGUUAAUGAGGCGAACCGGGGGAACUGAAACAUCUAAGUACCCCGAGGAAAAGAAAUCAACCGAGAUUCCCCCAGUAGCGGCGAGCGAACGGGGAGGAGCCCAGAGCCUGAAUCAGUGUGUGUGUUAGUGGAAGCGUCUGGAAAGGCGCGCGAUACAGGGUGACAGCCCCGUACACAAAAAUGCACAUACUGUGAGCUCGAUGAGUAGGGCGGGACACGUGGUAUCCUGUCUGAAUAUGGGGGGACCAUCCUCCAAGGCUAAAUACUCCUGACUGACCGAUAGUGAACCAGUACCGUGAGGGAAAGGCGAAAAGAACCCCGGCGAGGGGAGUGAAAAAGAACCUGAAACCGUGUACGUACAAGCAGUGGGAGCACGCUUCGGCGUGUGACUGCGUACCUUUUGUAUAAUGGGUCAGCGACUUAUAUUCUGUAGCAAGGUUAACCGAAUAGGGGAGCCGAAGGGAAACCGAGUCUUAACUGGGCGUUAAGUUGCAGGGUAUAGACCCGAAACCCGGUGAUCUAGCCAUGGGCAGGUUGAAGGUUGGGUAACACUAACUGGAGGACCGAACCGACUAAUGUUGAAAAAUUAGCGGAUGACUUGUGGCUGGGGGUGAAAGGCCAAUCAAACCGGGAGAUAGCUGGUUCUCCCCGAAAGCUAUUUAGGUAGCGCCUCGUGAAUUCAUCUCCGGGGGUAGAGCACUGUUUCGGCAAGGGGGUCAUCCCGACUUACCAACCCGAUGCAAACUGCGAAUACCGGAGAAUGUUAUCACGGGAGACACACGGCGGGUGCUAACGUCCGUCGUGAAGAGGGAAACAACCCAGACCGCCAGCUAAGGUCCCAAAGUCAUGGUUAAGUGGGAAACGAUGUGGGAAGGCCCAGACAGCCAGGAUGUUGGCUUAGAAGCAGCCAUCAUUUAAAGAAAGCGUAAUAGCUCACUGGUCGAGUCGGCCUGCGCGGAAGAUGUAACGGGGCUAAACCAUGCACCGAAGCUGCGGCAGCGACACUAUGUGUUGUUGGGUAGGGGAGCG